AGCGAACGCUGGCGGCAGGCCUAACACAUGCAAGUCGAACGAACUCUUCGGAGUUAGUGGCGGACGGGUGAGUAACACGUGGGAACGUGCCUUUUGGUUCGGAAUAACUCAGGGAAACUUGUGCUAAUACCGAAUGUGCCCUUCGGGGGAAAGAUUUAUCGCCAUUAGAGCGGCCCGCGUCUGAUUAGCUAGUUGGUGAGGUAACGGCUCACCAAGGCGACGAUCAGUAGCUGGUCUGAGAGGAUGACCAGCCACACUGGGACUGAGACACGGCCCAGACUCCUACGGGAGGCAGCAGUGGGGAAUCUUGCGGAAUGGGCGAAAGCCUGACGCAGCCAUGCCGCGUGAAUGAUGAAGGUGUUAGGAUUGUAAAAUUCUUUCACCGGGGACGAUAAUGACGGUACCCGGAGAAGAAGCCCCGGCUAACUUCGUG
Molecule: ribosomal RNA, 433 nt
Filed under: uncultured bacterium
Lineage: Bacteria
Description: partial 16S ribosomal RNA
Rfam family: Bacterial small subunit ribosomal RNA
Source: RNAcentral